UUUGCAGGGCCUGCGAGAGGAAAGGGAUGCCCUGCAUGCCCCACUACGAAGGAAGCUGGGGUGAUAGGGACCCCUUUCCUCCCCUCCCCCGUGAGCAUUUUUUAAGGGGGAGGGUUUGUGGUGGGAUGGCUGCCCCACCCCCAUGUGAGAGGGAACUAGACUAGGCCAGAAUGGCUGUGCAAGCCGUCAGCCAAUCAGGGAAGGGCCUACGGAGAGCCAAUCAGGGCCAAGAUUAGAGCCAGCCAAUCAGGGCUAGGCUAGGCUAGGCCCUCUAUAAUGGCUGCCCAGGAGAGCAGCAGGUAGUCUGUCUCAGAAUUUCAUGGGGGAAGGUCUGUCUCCAGAGCAGGAGACCAGCAUCUCGGGCUGGGUAGUACUGCAUCUGGCCAUCCGAUGGCCGAGACAAAUUGUAACCGGCCCUUGAGACAAGGGGCUAGACUUUGGGGGUUGCUGUUGGCCACCGAGGCAGGUGCAAGGACUGUUGCUAACCCCCACCCCUGGAAUGGGGUGAGGAUGGACUAGUGGGCACUGCUGGAGGGGCAGUGGCCUGCAGGGCAGUGUCAAGCAGAGAGCAACGCGGCUCCAGAUGACAACGGAGGACAAGAGACGGAUGGGACGCUGCCAGCAGAGGGCGUUCCCCAUGGACUGAGCUAAUUCCCAGAGCGACCAGCGGGAGGCGCCAUGCUGGAAUAGGAGCCUCCUUCCAGCUGUCUUUCAGGCCCUGGGAUCUGGCGCAGCCUCCCAGACGGGCGCUUCCUGUAGCUGAGCCACGUCAGGGAGCAGUGGGGACAGGUCACCUCGUCCCAGCAAUGCCGGCUCUCAAAGAGGCUUAGAUGGAAGACCCCAGUCCCUCAUUGAGAGGCGGUGUCCAGGAUCCUGGAGACUGUUUCCUGCUGCAGGAGGCUUGAGCAGGGAGAGAUCACUCACUGUCACGACCCAGGGGUCUCCAACCCGGGUCUGCAGGGUUCAUGGGAGCAGCCACACUCCAACCCUCCACCUUGAAGCCUGCUGAAAAUUGCUUACCUUGGACCCAUGAAGUUCACCCCCAGUUUGAGGCUCCACUCAUGAGGUCCUAUUGGAGGAGUCCCAGGAAAGCUCACUGGCCCCCUGGCCCUGCGUAAGACAGCAGCAGGAACACGAAGC
This is a long non-coding RNA of Trachemys scripta elegans, 1140 nucleotides long. RefSeq lists it as uncharacterized. The transcript is spliced from 3 exons. NCBI's taxonomy places the organism in Eukaryota, Metazoa, Chordata, Testudines, Emydidae. The record is from RefSeq and is a predicted model, not a curated record.